Molecule: ribosomal RNA, 253 nt
Filed under: uncultured bacterium
Lineage: Bacteria
Description: partial 16S ribosomal RNA
Rfam family: Bacterial small subunit ribosomal RNA
Source: RNAcentral
UACGAAGGGUGCAAGCGUUACUCGGAAUUACUGGGCGUAAAGCGUGCGUAGGUGGUUUCUUAAGUCUGAUGUGAAAGCCCUGGGCUCAACCUGGGAAUUGCAUUGGAUACUGGCAGGCUAGAGUGCGGUAGAGGGUAGUGGAAUUCCCGGUGUAGCAGUGAAAUGCGUAGAGAUGUGGAGGAACACCGAUGGCGAAGGCAGCCCCCUGGGCUAACACUGACGCUCAUGCACGAAAGCGUGGGGAGCAAACAGG